RNAcentral lists this ribosomal RNA (252 nucleotides) under uncultured bacterium. Its description in RNAcentral is "partial 16S ribosomal RNA". It matches the Rfam family "Bacterial small subunit ribosomal RNA", at positions 524 to 777 of the family's 1533-position model. The record is from RNAcentral.
UACGAAGGGGGCUAGCGUUGCUCGGAAUCACUGGGCGUAAAGGGUGCGUAGGCGGGUCUUUAAGUCAGGGGUGAAAUCCUGGAGCUCAACUCCAGAACUGCCUUCGAUACUGGAGCUUGAGUCCGGGAGAGGUGAGUGGAACUGCGAGUGUAGAGGUGAAAUUCGUAGAUAUUCGCAAGAACACCAGUGGCGAAGGCGGCUCACUGGCCCGGUACUGACGCUGAGGUGCGAAAGCGUGGGGAGCAAACAGGG